This is a long non-coding RNA of Betta splendens (Siamese fighting fish), 2500 nucleotides long. RefSeq lists it as uncharacterized. The transcript has 3 exons. The record is from RefSeq and is a predicted model, not a curated record. NCBI's taxonomy places the organism in Eukaryota, Metazoa, Chordata, Actinopteri, Anabantiformes, Osphronemidae.
GCAGCCAGAGAGGCGACACACUAGAUCAGAAAGCACCACUGUUGGGUCAACGUUGUUCACCCCCGGAGAACCAGAGGCAAACACUCAGCCCGAGAGAUGAAACCCGAGGACCCACGAUCCGUAGGUGGUCCACCAGGAGAAGCCCCCAUGCAAGAGAGGGGCCCACCCUCCAGUUUGCCACCCAAAGAGCCACAUCAGUCCCACAAUAUAAAGCUGGCAGUGGAGUUGGCAGAAGAAGAGACCACCCAGGCAGCAGACCCACGCACCCUGAGCGGAGAAUAGACCCCUAUACGCCCCCCCCAUAAUUUGCACGCACAAAAAGACUGCCAGUUUCCUAAGGAGCCCAGCAUACAGAGCCAUCAAAACAAAGGCCCUAUCCACUGGUCCCCCAGGGAGGCAUCCUCCAAAGCCCUAGAUGAGUGUAUAUGACUAAUUCCAUCAAAACUGAGGACAUCUCUGGGAGGGCCGGUGGGUGAGACCACUUCCCAGUAGCUGCCCAGUCCCUCGAUCAGUAGGAUGCUCCUCACAAAUCUACAGUAAGUGGAUGAGUGUGGAGUAACAUAGUUGGGAAGCAAGGUACUAGGGUUCGCAGAGUCAGGUUCCCGUCAAGCUUUGCUACCCAUCCCACUAUGCCCUGCCACCCCCCAGUUGUGAACAAACGAGCUAGACCCAGGGGCCAAGGUACUACUACCUGGGCACCACAACCAGCACAUCCAGAACCCCCUUCCCUCCUCUGUGACACUUUAACAUUCUCUCACUCACGCAUGCUUAUGCUCACAUACUGUGUGGCUGUGCGGGGAGGCCCAACCCUGGCCCAGGGCUCAAUGAAGACCACAACCCAGGUAGCCCCUGCAUGGCCCUAAGAUGGACAUUUGGCGUGGAUUGGCUCCAGCAUCUCAGUGAGACUGGAAGAAGAUGGGUUAGGGGAAUAAAUGGAUUUAGUAAAACAAUUAGUUCUGCUUACCCUAAAGACCUCUAUGGUGCUAAUGUGCUAAUGUGGUGAUUCCUCUCCACAGUUUCUGUCAAAAUAUGUUUAAAAUGUUUUUAAUGAAAAUGUAGGAUUUGUUAGGUUUUCUUAUAGGUAGCGGUUAAGACUUAUACCUAACUUCAUUUAGCCUUGAGACAAGUUUUUACUGUUAAAACUGAACUGAACUGGAAUGAAGUGUUAAAACCUUGUACAGUACAUUAGAUAAUUAGUUCUGAAACUGCCCUUAUCACUUCAUAAUCAAAUUACAAAUUAAUUACUGAACAAAAAAAAUUAAUAAAACUGAAUAUGGCUUUUGAAACACAUUGACUGUCACAUUCAUCAGACAUACUUUUUUCUUUCCGUGACGUACUACAUGCAGUCAGCCUGAUUAAACGUAGACAAACAAAGGGAAAAGCUGAUUUAAAUGAGUGUAGUGGCUUUAAAAUUACAUUGGUAACACGUUACUUUAAUAUGCACACUUUAAAUACUCACAUUUGAAAAUGACAUUAACAUCUGAUCAUGGAUUUACUAGCUGGAUGAAAACACCUGGUGUUUGCAGAAGACGAUCAGGUCUUCACAGAGGUGAGGAAAUGCCACGACAGUCAUAGCAAUAAUCAUAUCUGGCUGAUCUGUGGCUAGCAUCACACAUGCCGUAUCACUCUUGCCGUCACAAAAAGGGAAAAAGAGGGAUUCCCCAAUACUUUGUCAUGCUCUGGGGUAUUAAUAGCAGCAAAUCUGUUACUCAUCCAAUGAUAAAGCCUGGAGAAACUUCAGCUGUAUAUAACAGGUGACAGUUCCUGGAGGUUUAGAAAGUGAGCAUCACUGGCUGGACUCAAUCAAACUUGAACUAGAAACUUAAGAAUUCACGUUGUGAUCUAUAAGCUGUUGAGUAAAUCUGACCUGUACAUCAGCCAUGGUUGCACCACUUGCCUCUGGUUCCACGUGGAUCCUGCCUCUGCUGCUGCUGCAUUUCAUUUCUUUUCAACUGCUGUUCUCCUCUCCAAUGAACCAAAGAAACCAAACCAAAGAAAUGAUGCAUGAGUUUCAGAGGACCGUUUCGAUGGUUGAAGGUGAGGUGAAGGUAAGGCAGCUAAUCUGCUGACUAACAAUGAUGCGUUAUUAUAGUUAAUUUACUUAGGUUUGUCAAAAAAUCACCUGUGUGCCUGGUGAAACAUGUAUAUUAAAUGUCACAUCUGAAUCUAAGGUAAUCACUAGUAAUUAGUACUCAUGCCUGUGUAGGAAAGAGUCUGCCAUAUGGAGGCUGCACCUUAUUGCUGCCACGUUGUUUGACACUGACACUGCUGAAUUUUUGUUUUGUGAUCUGGUUUGACAGAACUGUCCAGAGAGCUGCCAUACCGCCCACAGAGAGACUGGAAGAUGCUCAUGCUUUAAUUUCAGUGUCUCACCACAGGAAUGUGAAUUUCCUGAGUACUUCAUCAAAGGCCUGAGCUCCAUGCACAACAGUACUACCAGUCUGUUUGACAUCAAGUUGCUGAUCAAAAUGAUCAACGUCACAGCUCGACAUAUUAACGU